This 479-nucleotide ribosomal RNA is filed under the name uncultured bacterium. Its description in RNAcentral is "partial 16S ribosomal RNA". It matches the Rfam family "Bacterial small subunit ribosomal RNA", at positions 28 to 507 of the family's 1533-position model. The record is from RNAcentral.
GACGAACGCUGGCGGCGCGCCUAACACAUGCAAGUCGAGCGAUGAAAUUUUAACCGAUCUCUUCGGAGAGAAGAUAAAAUGGAUUAGCGGCGGACGGGUGAGUAACCCGUGAGAAACCUGCCUUUCACAAGGGGAUAGCCUCGGGAAACCGGGAUUAAUACCCUAUGACACAUUUCCUUCGCAUGGAAGAAAUGUUAAAACUCCGGUGGUGAAAGAUGGUCUCGCGCCUGAUUAGCUAGUUGGUGGGGUAACGGCCCACCAAGGCCAUGAUCAGUAACCGGACUUGGAGGGUGAACGGUAACAUUGAACUGAGACACGGUCCAAACUCCUACGGGAGGGAGCAGUGGGGAAUAUUGCACAAUGGAGGGAGCUCUGAUGCAGCGACGCCGCGUGAGCGAUGAAGGCUUUCGAGUCGUAAAGCUCUGUCCUAUGGGAAGAUAAUGACGGUACCAUAGGAGGAAGCCCCGGCUAACUACGUG